RNAcentral lists this ribosomal RNA (446 nucleotides) under uncultured bacterium. Its description in RNAcentral is "partial 16S ribosomal RNA". It matches the Rfam family "Bacterial small subunit ribosomal RNA", at positions 338 to 795 of the family's 1533-position model. The record is from RNAcentral.
CCUACGGGAGGCAGCAGUCGAGAAUCAUUCACAAUGGGGGAAACCCUGAUGGUGCGACGCCGCGUGGGGGAAUGAAGGUCUUCGGAUUGUAAACCCCUGUCAUGUGGGAGCAAAUUAAAAAGAUAGUACCACAAGAGGAAGAGACGGCUAACUCUGUGCCAGCAGCCGCGGUAAUACGGAGGUCUCAAGCGUUGUUCGGAAUCACUGGGCGUAAAGCGUGCGUAGGCUGUUUCGUAAGUCGUGUGUGAAAGGCGCGGGCUCAACCCGCGGACGGCACAUGAUACUGGGAGACUAGAGUAAGGGAGAGGGAAGCGGAAUUCUCGGUGUAGCAGUGAAAUGCGUAGAUAUCGAGAGGAACACUCGUGGCGAAGGCGGGUUCCUGGACAUUAACUGACGCUGAGGCGCGAAGGCGAGGGGAGCGAAAGGGAUUAGAUACCCGGGUAGUC